Molecule: long non-coding RNA, 392 nt
Organism: Anthonomus grandis grandis
Lineage: Eukaryota; Metazoa; Arthropoda; Insecta; Coleoptera; Curculionidae
Exons: 2
Source: RefSeq, a predicted model, not a curated record
GUGAAAUGUCAGAAGUGGCCAAAAACAAGGAGCUUAAAGGGGAAUCCUUGGGCGAUCAGAACCAUACCGAAAGCCGUCAUGGAAGUAUUACUUGGACCCUCGGUCAACAUAUCAGACCGAACGGACUGCAAUGGGAUCAGAAAUGGAUGGAGCAAGAGAAAGCGACAUCGAAUAAAUUCAGACGGCUCCAAAACCAAUUUUGGAGUAGGAACUGAAAUAUACUGCACUAGCCCAAGGACGGAAAUAUCUACAGUAUUGUGCAUAAAUAUAGCAACAAGCGAUGUUUUCAAAAAUAUUAUUUGCUCCUUUAUUUAUUCCAUAUUAUUUCUUUACUUUUAAGUACACGUCUCUGUAUUAUUUAUAAAUAUAUCGAGAUAUCAUAAGAAUGCCAA